This 69-nucleotide transfer RNA is filed under the name Hydromanicus wulaianus. Its description in RNAcentral is "tRNA-Gln". Lineage: Eukaryota; Metazoa; Arthropoda; Insecta; Trichoptera; Hydropsychidae. The record is from RNAcentral.
UAUAUUUAAGUGUUUUAUGCACUAAAGAUUUUGAUUCUUUCAGAUUUAAAUAAAAAUUAAAAAAUAUAA